UCCUCAGAAGCUGCACGUUGCUAACAGACGUUAACGCAGAUUUUAUACCGAAUGUAAUGUGUUUUAGAGACUUUUAAAACACAUACAAAGAGUUAGUUUAUCCUUGGAGGGUGAUCUAUCCGUUAAACCGUGUUUUUGUUGCCUCCCGUUCUUUGUUCGUAGCUUUUUAUACCACGUUGCUGAUCGGUAAACAGAAGUAAAGGCAUUCAACGGAGAUUAGUGUGUUUAACGGCAGUGUUUUAUCAAGGAGAAGAGAGACUGAAGAACCAGGACGAAGAGGAGAGAGAGAGAGACACAGCCGGAGAAGGAGCUCUGAGAGCAGCAUGGAGAACAAAAAGACCCCUGGAGCUCAGAGACACAGCCGGAGAAGGAGCACUGAGAGCAGCAUGGAGGAGAACAAAGAGACCCCUGGAGCUCAGGUCAGUGUGCACUUCAUCACAAUAUAUUCCUAACACUGUUAUCCCCAAAUGAAAGAUCACAACCUGUUUAGAAAAUACAAUAUUAAUGCACAAUAUGGUUAGAUAUAGGUUAGAAUGUUGUAUUGACAUUUUUUUUUUU
Trematomus bernacchii (emerald rockcod) is the source of this 558-nucleotide long non-coding RNA. RefSeq lists it as uncharacterized. Lineage: Eukaryota; Metazoa; Chordata; Actinopteri; Perciformes; Nototheniidae. The record is from RefSeq and is a predicted model, not a curated record. The transcript has 3 exons.